AGGGCAAAUCUUCAAAAUAGCACCUUUCUAAGUUUAUAUCACAAAAAUAGUACUCAAAAAUUAAAAUGACCAAAAUAGCAUUUUAUCUUUUGAAAAAUUUAAAUUUUUUUAUUUUUCAAAAUUUGAAAUCUUAUCCCCAAAACCUCAUUUCUUAACUCUAAACCCUAAAACCUAAACUCUAAACCCUAAACCCUAAAUUCUAAACCCUAAACCCACCCCU
RNAcentral lists this long non-coding RNA (220 nucleotides) under Brassica napus (rape). Its description in RNAcentral is "long non-coding RNA (BNAP_LNC004059)". Lineage: Eukaryota; Viridiplantae; Streptophyta; Magnoliopsida; Brassicales; Brassicaceae. The record is from RNAcentral.